AUCUAUUGCUCACUUCCUCUAUUCUCUGUUCCCUGGGGCGGCUCUUCCAAAGGAAGCAAAGUUGCUUCAGGCCACUUCUGUUGUUCUCAGACAAAUUAGCCUAUGUAGGCAUCCAUUUCCUCAUUUGUGAAAUAAGAAAAACCCACUUCUUUGGAUUGUUGUGGGGGAUAUAUUUUAUACAGAAGUACAUUGUGUGUGUGUGCAAGCCUAGGACAAAACAUUUCUGAAUAAAUUCAGAUACCUUCCCCACACCUCACCCUAUUAAAAGCAGAACGAACUGGAGGAAGGGCAUAUUUCUUCCCUGUUCAGAACUUUUACUGGCACUCCACGCCCUAUGAGAUUAAGAACAAACCCUGCCUUGUAUUCAAAACCUUUACCAUAAAACUCCACUUCUCACUCCUCAUGGAACAUGAUCUGCAUUUGCUCACCUGUAUACUCUUCUCCUGUCCCUUUCUCUGCUUGUACUGGUCUCUCUCAAUUUUGCCAAAAUGUUAUCCAUCACUUGAGUCUCAAAAAGUGUGGAAAUUCUACACAAAUCAAAUUUCGGAAAUAUCACCUGGAGAUAUUUAUUGACUGUAUUUAAGUGAUCUUCAUCAAGGAGACUUAGACCCUUCGCAGUCCACAAGCUUAUCAAUUCUCAGAGCUUCAAGUUCAGGUAGAGCUUGGGUCCUGAUCUCUCUGAUAACUUCGACUUGUCUAUACCCUGGGGUUAGUCAUUCAUAAUAAUGCAUCAGUAGUAGUUCACCACCUGUCACAAAUGUACCACACCAAUGUAAGAAGAUAAUAACCAGGCAGGUAUAUUUCUCACCAUCCACUCUUAAACUUGGUACUCUGCCUACCUCCAUUCUUUUUAUGGAUCCUAUUGAAUAAUUUGUUAUUUCUUUUACAUUUGAAAAGAUACAAUACAGAAAAAAUUCAUUCUUCAGCAAACACUUGUUGAAUACCAUUUACUAAUUACAUAAGUUUUACUAUAAUAAUACUAAAGUACUGGAACAUAGUGCUUUAAUACAUUUCUGAUGAGAUCUGAAAGUUAGAUUCAUUUGUAAUAGAUGGUAUUUUGGCUCAAAAUAUCCAUUGCCUCUUCCAUAGGGCCCCAGCCUAUGGGAGGAAGACAUACCUGUGCUCAGAGCAGGCUUGGUCAUGCGACUUGCUUUGAUCAUUUGAUCAUUGGAAUAGGACUGGAGCAGACCCACUUUUUUUUUUUUCCUUUUUAGGGCUGCACCCACAGCAUACGGAGGUUCUCAGGCUAGUGGUCAAAUUGGAGCUGCAGGCUGCCCGCCUACGCCACAGCCAUAGCAAUGCGGGAUCUGAGCUGCUUCUGCGACCUACACCGCAGUUCACAGCAACAUCAGAUCCUUAACCCACUGAGCGAGGCUAGGGAUCGAACCCACAACCUCAUGGUUCCUAGUCAGAUUCGUUUCCGCUGUGCCACGAUGGGAAUGCCUGUCCUAUUUCUGAAAGAGCUUUAAGAGUCAUUCUCUGGUCGGUCACCACCCCCUCUUUUUCAUUCCGACAUGAAACUGCCAUGUUUUAGAUAGGGCUGCAUUUUCAUCCUUGGUUCUGACAUGACAAAGACAUGAAACUGAGUCAAAUCUGACCCCAGUAUAGACAUGAGAAAUAAACCUUUGUUGUGAGCCA
Molecule: long non-coding RNA, 1638 nt
Filed under: Sus scrofa (pig)
Lineage: Eukaryota; Metazoa; Chordata; Mammalia; Artiodactyla; Suidae
Description: lncRNA (ENSSSCG00065004663.1)
Source: RNAcentral